This 28-nucleotide non-coding RNA is filed under the name Mus musculus (house mouse). The record is from RNAcentral. Lineage: Eukaryota; Metazoa; Chordata; Mammalia; Rodentia; Muridae.
UCAUUCAUGAUCAGGUCCAAGUCUUUGC